UGGGGAAUAUUGGACAAUGGGCGAAAGCCUGAUCCAGCAAUACCGCGUGUGUGAAGAAGGCCUUCGGGUUGUAAAGCACUUUAAGUUGGGAAGAAAAAGCUUCACCUAAUACGUGGAGCCUUGACGGUACCGACAGAAUAAGCACCGGCUAACUCUGUG
RNAcentral lists this ribosomal RNA (159 nucleotides) under uncultured bacterium. Its description in RNAcentral is "partial 16S ribosomal RNA". It matches the Rfam family "Bacterial small subunit ribosomal RNA", at positions 355 to 507 of the family's 1533-position model. The record is from RNAcentral.